This 306-nucleotide unclassified non-coding RNA is filed under the name plant metagenome. RNAcentral describes it as "partial contains 5.8S ribosomal RNA, internal transcribed spacer 2, and large subunit ribosomal RNA". The stretch from base 1 to 105 matches the Rfam family "5.8S ribosomal RNA", at positions 50 to 154 of the family's 154-position model. The record is from RNAcentral.
GAAAUGCGAUAAGUAAUGUGAAUUGCAGAAUUCAGUGAAUCAUCGAAUCUUUGAACGCACAUUGCGCCCGCCAGUAUUCUGGCGGGCAUGCCUGUCCGAGCGUCAUUUCAACCAUCAAGCCCCCGGGCUUGUGUUGGGGACCUGCGGCCGCCCGCAGGCCCUGAAAACCAGUGGCGGGCUCGCUGUCACACCGAGCGUAGUAGCAAUCACCUCGCUCAGGGCGUGCUGCGGGUUCCGGCCGUUAAACAGCCUUACAAAACCCAAGGUUGACCUCGGAUCAGGUAGGAAGACCCGCUGAACUUAAGC